Non-coding RNA from Triticum urartu, 447 nucleotides. NCBI's taxonomy places the organism in Eukaryota, Viridiplantae, Streptophyta, Magnoliopsida, Poales, Poaceae. The record is from RefSeq and is a predicted model, not a curated record.
GGGGUAAUUUUAUAAUUCACUAUUAAAAUGUGGAGUCGUGACGAGACCAGGUUACUUGCAGAGAGGUUAGCAGGGCAACACGUCCCGGCUUCGGGCCUCAUGGACCUCACGCCGAUCAGGUGGUGUCCAUACUGGUUGGAUUCAAUUGUUUCGGGUAAAUCUUGGAGACUGGUUCUGGCAUUUUGAUUUGGGGAAUCUUUUAGUUUUCAAUCUCAAAUGGCCAUUGGACAGGCCGGUGCUGAUGUGAAUAAAAUUGACUAUAUGGGCAUUACUUGAUGGCAGCAAUGAACAGUGUCCUACCUGGUAUGAUGAACUGCUUACUAGAUGCUGGUGUUAACCCAAAUGUUCCUGCCAGACUGAGUUAAUGAGUCUUAUAUUAUUUCCUCCUCUGCCUUUGUGAUCCCAUUUUCAUGCAGUACGAAGUUAAAAGUAGUUUUAUGUUUUUGU